Non-coding RNA from Cavia porcellus (domestic guinea pig), 1352 nucleotides. The record is from the annotation of a RefSeq genome assembly. NCBI's taxonomy places the organism in Eukaryota, Metazoa, Chordata, Mammalia, Rodentia, Caviidae.
AUGUCUCUUGUGCUCAGUGAGUCCAAGGCACCUGCUCCUGUAGGAGCAAGUUUGGGAGCUUCUCGGGACUACACCCAGAGCCUGGAGAAAGAAACCGCAGGCGGGUCAGGAGGCAUGGAGAGGAAACUGGCAGCCCUGCUGGGGCUUUUGUGGGUGCAAGCUUGCUGCGUGAGAGGGGAACAGGUGGAACAGAGCCCUUCAACCCUGAGUCUCCAGGAGGGAGCAAACAUAACACUCAGGUGCAAUGUUUCUACCACCACGAAUGUGAUGCAUUGGUUCCGGCAAAACCCAAGAGGCGGCCUUGUCAGUCUGUUCUUCAUGUCUCCAGGGACAAAGCAAGCUGGAAGGCUGCAGUCAACAUUUAAUUUCAAAGAACGUUCUGGCACCCUACACAUAGCAAAAGCAUCCAAGCCAGGAGACUCUGGCUUCUACCUCUGUGCGGUAGACGCACAGUGCUCAUUGCUCACCUACAGCCUGGUUCCAAACUGCAGCUGGGACUGAGCCACAGCCACUGCCUCAGGGGAGUCACCCUGCAGCAUGCACGGCUUUGGGUUUCCACAUUAACACUGCACCGCUGUUAUUUUCGCUAACAUCAGACUUUUUACUGCAGACAAAUCCUUUGAUUGUAUUUUUAUAUUUUCAGUCUUGGAAUCCAUAACAAAUAUGAUGGAAAGAUCCUUCAUGGCACUGAGUGUCAGUCACUCUGAAUAGGUGAUUACAUAUGUGAUCUAAGUACUGAAAUUAUUUCUUCACUUUGCUUGGGAGUAAACUGAGGACUCUAGAGCAGAAAGCCCGGUUCUGAGCUCAUGUGGUUGCUAACUAGUGAAGCCACAGAGGAUGCCCCACUUGGGGUGUUUGGCACCAGGGCUUGUGCCCUGAGCUGGCCAGAGGAGGGGACUCCACAAUGCAAAUGAUGUGCAUUGAUGAUCUGUAAUAAGUGUUCAUACACGUCAUGGACUAUAAUUUGCUUUUUAGUGUUUUCUAAACAGCACCCUUUAUUAAAGAGCUUCUUGAACUUCUCCUUUUCUGGUGCAAACAUUGACUGAUCUUGCUUAUGUUUUGAGUAACUGUGUUACUCCAGAUGUUCUACUAUUUAUGUUAUGGUAAGAUGAGCAGAAAACUUCACAACAACAUGUUGACAAGCAAAGCCAAGGUUUUUAUAUGUGCAUCCAGCCUUGCAAGGACUUUUAUGGGAAUGUACAGGAUUUCCUGCAAAAGAUUGUGACCCUGAGAACUAGGAAGAGGGCAGUUGGGCAGCUCCAGGGGAGCUGGGAGCAAGCAUAGCCUCUUGGGUGGUGGCCUGUGAGGUCUGCAGGCUUGGCCCUAUAUGGACAACUAUACGGAUCCCGGAA